UUAAGUUGGGCACUCUAAGUUGACUGCCGGUGACAAACCGGAGGAAGGUGGGGAUGACGUCAAAUCAUCAUGCCCCUUAUGAUUUGGGCUACACACGUGCUACAAUGGACAAUACAAAGGGUAGCGAAACCGCGAGGUCAAGCAAAUCCCAUAAAGUUGUUCUCAGUUCGGAUUGUAGUCUGCAACUCGACUAUAUGAAGCUGGAAUCGCUAGUAAUCGUAGAUCAGCAUGCUACGGUGAAUACGUUCCCGGGUCUUGAAUA
This 262-nucleotide ribosomal RNA is filed under the name Staphylococcus epidermidis. RNAcentral describes it as "partial 16S ribosomal RNA". It matches the Rfam family "Bacterial small subunit ribosomal RNA", at positions 1126 to 1387 of the family's 1533-position model. Lineage: Bacteria; Bacillati; Bacillota; Bacilli; Caryophanales; Staphylococcaceae. The record is from RNAcentral.